Molecule: long non-coding RNA, 258 nt
Filed under: Elaeis guineensis (African oil palm)
Lineage: Eukaryota; Viridiplantae; Streptophyta; Magnoliopsida; Arecales; Arecaceae
Description: long non-coding RNA (EGUI_LNC058777)
Source: RNAcentral
GUUGGAUAUAUAUCCUAGAAGCCAAUAUGACUGACACAUUGUCAUAAUUCUAAGAUAUAAUUUUAUAUUUAAAAUAUUGAUUUGAUCAAUAAAAAAUAAAUUUUAUUUUUAUUCAAGUGUGAUGUAUCUUUGAAUCAUCCAUGAAAUUAAUACUUACGAUACAUAUUCUCAAGAUAUUGAGAAUUAGAGGCAUAUAUAAUUAAUUUUUAAAUUUUUCUCAGUCAUAGUAUCAUCAUGAGGAUAGUGAUCAAUUUGGAU